GGAAUCUUAGACAAUGGGGGAAACCCUGAUCUAGCCAUGCCGCGUGAGCGAUGAAGGCCUUAGGGUUGUAAAGCUCUUUCGCUGGGGAAGAUAAUGACGGUACCCAGUAAAGAAGCCCCGGCUAACUCCGUGCCAGCAGCCGCGGUAAUACGGAGGGGGCUAGCGUUGUUCGGAAUUACUGGGCGUAAAGGGCACGUAGGCUGGCUGUUAAGUCGGGGGUGAAAUCCUGAGGCUCAACCUCAGAAUUGCCUCCGAUACUGGCGGUCUUGAGUGCGGGAGAGGUGAGUGGAAUUCCCAGUGUAGAGGUGAAAUUCGUAGAUAUUGGGAAGAACACCAGUGGCGAAGGCGGCUCACUGGCCCGCAACUGACGCUGAGGUGCGAAAGCGUGGGGAGCA
RNAcentral lists this ribosomal RNA (395 nucleotides) under uncultured bacterium. RNAcentral's name for it is "bacterial SSU rRNA". It matches the Rfam family "Bacterial small subunit ribosomal RNA", at positions 358 to 770 of the family's 1533-position model. The record is from RNAcentral.